Molecule: ribosomal RNA, 500 nt
Filed under: uncultured bacterium
Lineage: Bacteria
Description: bacterial SSU rRNA
Rfam family: Bacterial small subunit ribosomal RNA
Source: RNAcentral
AAGGUUGAAACUCAAAGGAAUUGACGGGGGCCCGCACAAGCAGUGGAGCAUGUGGUUCAAUUCGAUGCAACGCGAAGAACCUUACCCGGAUUUGAAAGGCUCAUGACAACCGAUGAAAGUCGGUCUUGUAGCAAUACACAUGAGUACAGGUGCUGCAUGGCUGUCGUCAGCUCGUGCCGUGAGGUGUUGGGUUAAGUCCCGCAACGAGCGCAACCCUUACACUUAGUUGCCAUCAGGUCAAGCUGGGCACUCUAAGUGGACUGCCUACGCAAGUAGUGAGGAAGGUGGGGAUGACGUCAAGUCCUCAUGGCCCUUACAUCCGGGGCCACACACGUGCUACAAUGGUCGGUACAGAGGGCUGCAGAGCCGCGAGGUGAAGCUAAUCCCAAAAAACCGAUCUCAGUUCGGAUUGGAGUCUGCAACUCGACUCCAUGAAGCUGGAAUUGCUAGUAAUCGCGCAUCAGCACGGCGCGGUGAAUACGUUCCCGGGCCUUGUACAC